AGAGAACCAGCCGCCCGCGUUCCAGAGUGAAGUGAUUUGGCUGCAUCUCCAAUUGUGGUAUUUUCCAUUUGUCAAAGUCAAAGCUAUCCCUUUUGUUGAUUAAUUCUGGAGAAAGUUGAAGUCUUUGUACUCCUGUGAUUGACGUGGUGCCUGACUCUGCCAGAUUUUGCCUUGGAUAUGCUGCAAUGGAGUUUUGCUCUGUCACCAGGUUCCAUGAUCUCAGCUCACUGCAACCUCCACCUCCUGGUUCAAGAGAUUCUCUUGCCUCAGCAUCCUGAGUAGCUGGGAUUACAUGCAAGCACCACAACACCUAGCUAUUUGUGUGUG
RNAcentral lists this long non-coding RNA (327 nucleotides) under Callithrix jacchus (white-tufted-ear marmoset). RNAcentral's name for it is "lncRNA (ENSCJAG00000082588.1)". Lineage: Eukaryota; Metazoa; Chordata; Mammalia; Primates; Cebidae. The record is from RNAcentral.